Long non-coding RNA from Neopelma chrysocephalum (saffron-crested tyrant-manakin), 329 nucleotides. RefSeq lists it as uncharacterized. Lineage: Eukaryota; Metazoa; Chordata; Aves; Passeriformes; Pipridae. The transcript is spliced from 3 exons. The record is from RefSeq and is a predicted model, not a curated record.
CGGGCUGAGGCUGAUCCCGGGAAUUCCCUUGAGGGAUCCUGGGCUGAGGCUGAUCCUGGGAAUUCCCCUGAGGGAUCCUGGGCUGAGGCUUUUCCCGGGAAUUCCCGGGAAUUCCCUCCCCAGGUUGUGGAUCUGCUCAACCAGGCGGCUCUGAUCGGGAACGAGGGGAAAAUCAACAUCCUCAAACAGGUGCAGGAGCUGAUCAUCAACAAGGAUCCGACUCUGCUGGACAACUUCCUGGAUGAAAUCAUCGCCUUCCAGGCCGACAAAUCCAUCGAGGUUCGGAAGUUCGUGGUGGGAUUCAUCGAGGAGGCCUGGUGAGGGUCUGG